Long non-coding RNA from Quercus robur (English oak), 1731 nucleotides. RefSeq lists it as uncharacterized. The record is from RefSeq and is a predicted model, not a curated record. Lineage: Eukaryota; Viridiplantae; Streptophyta; Magnoliopsida; Fagales; Fagaceae. The transcript has 2 exons.
UAUGGGAAGAACCUUAAGGGUGGAGUGGUAAUUAAACACAAGAAAUUUUUGGGGCAAACUUGUAAUUAAGCCCCCUCCCAUAAGCCUACACGUUCUCUCUCUCUCCCACUUGUCUUCUCUUUUGUAAUUUCUCACUUCUUGUUCUCACCGUCCUCCAUGGCUGAUCCAUUGAAGGUCCUAUAUCCUUACCACCACUUCAAAUAACCCCCUCAAUAGCUUGAAUCCAACAAGUAUGAUCUUCCAUGAGUUUUGGCUGCCCCAAACAAUGAUUUUAAGGUUUCGAGAUUCUUGGUGAUGGACCUAGUAAUUGGAUUGCUUGCUUAGGUGGUGGUGCCCGGUUGAGGUAAAAUUGGUUGGCCUCCUGAGGUAAGUAGCUUUUAAUGGGAUUUUUUGAAAAUGACCACAUUGCAUAAACUUUGUUUUUGGGUCAAACACAUUUUGGAAAAUUAUUUGUGGAACUAUAUUUUCUUAAAAAUUAUUGUGUUGUGACCCUAUUAUAUAUGAUUGUAUAUGAAAAGAGUAUCAUGUUUAAUAUUGAAUAUGGAGAAAUGCAUGAUUUGUUAGUAUGGAAGAGAUAAACAUCUUUGAUAUAAUUCUUGGGAAUGGAUUUUAUGGAUUUGAUGCAUUAUUUGCAAAUUCUAAAGAUGUUUUAUCUUGACUUGUGAUAUUUUAGAAAUGGAUAGAAAAUGUUAUUGACAAGAAAUGAUUUUGGAAAAUUUGGGAACCUUGUGAAUAUAUUGGGUAUUUCAAAGGUUUUUGUGUAACUACUUGAAAUUGAACUGUGUUUUGAAUUCAUGUAAUCUGUGAGCUCUUUAUAUUUUACCCUUGUGCUGUGAUGUGUGAUUACCCGGUGAUCACCUAGCUAGAUACUAUAGUCUAUGUGACAUUGGUAUCUUAGCACCUGUCUUUGUGACGGCAUAUGAGUUCCGUCUUUGUGAGGGUAGAUUAGUUCCGACUAUGUGUCGGCAAUGAGCUUUGGUUAUGUGUUGGUGAUGAGUUUCGUCUUUGUGACGGCAGAUUAGUUUCGACUGUGUGUUGGCGAUAAGUUCUGUUUUUGUGACGACAGAUGAGUUCCGUCUUUGUGACAACGCUGUCACAUGGCCUUGGGUUGGAUUUUCAAGUUUUAAAAGGAUGUUUUCAUAGCUCACAGUAAAUAGUAUGUAGUUUCAUGUUGAAAUAUUUUGAGGAAGUUUGGUGCUACAUUCUUUUAAUCAUUCUUGUCAUUUUAUUAAGAAAAAUGGUUUUUAAUGAUCCAAAUGGAAAUUCUCAAAGUAUAACAUAUUUUGUAAGAUGCCCAUUAUCAUGAAACUUGUAUUUUCCCCACCCACAUUAAUUAUGCUACUUACUGAGCUUUAGCUCAUCCCACUCUCCAACAGUUUUUUAGAUAAAUUUGCUAUACCUUGGGCAUGAAGCUUGUUUUAUUGGUGGUGAUUGGAGCAUCAUGCUAAUUGAGAGAUUUAUGCUAUGAUUGGUUGGUGACUCAACUUUCUAAAUUUAUUGAGGCCAUAGCUAAUUCUAUCGGAGGUUGGGCCCUUGAGGUUUGUUAGUCUUGGGCAUAGUAGGCAUAGAUUCUAUCGUCGUGGUUGCCUUUCCUUGGAAGGAUUGUGAUAUGAUGUUGAUCCAUUUGGAAUUUUGUAUAUAUUUGGAGACAGUAUUUGUAAUUCAUAUUAUUUGUAAAUGUGUUAUAGAGCACUGACUUCUAAUAUGGAGAUUUUAGUAUGGUUAUUUAUC